This 241-nucleotide unclassified non-coding RNA is filed under the name Hevea brasiliensis (rubber tree). The record is from RNAcentral. Lineage: Eukaryota; Viridiplantae; Streptophyta; Magnoliopsida; Malpighiales; Euphorbiaceae.
GCUACAUAGUCAACAUUUCGAUACGUUCCAAUGUCGUUCCAGAUUCGAUCCAAGGCGUAAAGAUCGCAUACGAGUUUCAGAGUAGCCUGUGUAUUUGCAUUGGGACAUCUUUGUACAGCUUCGAUAAACUGAGCGAGGAUUACGGAUUCAAUGUGAGAUUCCGCAAGAGUCAGGAGGUGAUUCAGGCAUCUAUUCCAUGCACCAAAGCCACCAAGAGUUUUAGUAUGCUUGCGAAGACGAA